UACGGAGGGGGCUAGCGUUGUUCGGAAUUACUGGGCGUAAAGCGCACGUAGGCGGCUUUGCAAGUCAGAGGUGAAAGCCCGGGGCUCAACCCCGGAAUUGCCUUUGAGACUGCAUCGCUAGAACGUCGGAGAGGUGAGUGGAAUUCCGAGUGUAGAGGUGAAAUUCGUAGAUAUUCGGAAGAACACCCGUGGCGAAGGCGGCUCUCUGGGACGGUACUGACGCUGAGACGCGAAAGCGUGGGGAGCGAACAGG
Molecule: ribosomal RNA, 253 nt
Filed under: uncultured bacterium
Lineage: Bacteria
Description: partial 16S ribosomal RNA
Rfam family: Bacterial small subunit ribosomal RNA
Source: RNAcentral